AGAGUUUGAUUAUGGCUCAGGAUGAACGCUAGCUACAGGCUUAACACAUGCAAGUCGAGGGGCAGCGUGUACAGGUGCUUGCACCAGUAUGACGGCGACCGGCGCACGGGUGAGUAACGCGUAUCCAACCUGCCAUAUACUCGGGGAUAGCCCGGUGAAAACCGAAUUAACCCCCGAUGAGAUUCCUUGCGGACAUCCAACUGGAAUCAAAGUUUCACGGUAUAUGAUGGGGAUGCGUCUGAUUAGCUUGUUGGCGGGGUAACGGCCCACCAAGGCAACGAUCAGUAGGGGUUCUGAGAGGAAGGUCCCCCACAUUGGUACUGAGACACGGACCAAACUCCUACGGGAGGCAGCAGUGAGGAAUAUUGGUCAAUGGGCGAGAGCCUGAACCAGCCAAGUAGCGUGCAGGAUGACGGCCCUAUGGGUUGUAAACUGCUUUUGUAAGGGAACAAAGUGCGGGACGUGUCCCGUUUUGCGUGUACCUUACGAAUAAGGACCGGCUAAUUCCGUGCCAGCAGCCGCGGUAAUGCGGAAGGUCCGGGCGUUAUCCGGAUUUAUUGGGUUUAAAGGGAGCGUAGGCCGAAGGUUAAGCGUGUUGUGAAAUGUAGUCGCUCAACGGGUGCACUGCAGCGCGAACUGGCUUUCUUGAGUGCGCGGAAAGUUGGCGGAAUUCGUUGUGUAGCGGUGAAAUGCUUAGAUAUGACGAAGAACUCCGAUUGCGAAGGCAGCUGACUGUAGCGUAACUGACGCUGAUGCUCGAAAGCGUGGGUAUCGAACAGGAUUAGAUACCCUGGUAGUCCACGCGGUAAACGAUGGAUGCUCGCUGUUUGCCAUAUAUGGUAAGUGGCCAAGCGAAAGCAUUAAGCAUCCCACCUGGGGAGUACGCCGGCAACGGUGAAACUCAAAGGAAUUGACGGGGGCCCGCACAAGCGGAGGAACAUGUGGUUUAAUUCGAUGAUACGCGAGGAACCUUACCCGGGCUCAAACGGCAGGGGAAUGUCCGGGAAACCGGGUAGCCGCAAGGCCGCUGCCGAGGUGCUGCAUGGUUGUCGUCAGCUCGUGCCGUGAGGUGUCGGCUUAAGUGCCAUAACGAGCGCAACCCCCAUCUUCAGUUACUAACGGGUAAAGCCGAGGACUCUGGAGAGACUGCCGGCGCAAGCUGCGAGGAAGGCGGGGAUGACGUCAAAUCAGCACGGCCCUUACGUCCGGGGCGACACACGUGUUACAAUGGCGGGGCACAGAGGGGAGCCAUGCGGCGACGCAGAGCGGAUCUCUUAAAGCCGUUCUCAGUUCGGACUGUAGGCUGCAACUCGCCUACACGAAGCUGGAAUCGCUAGUAAUCGCGGAUCAGCACGCCGCGGUGAAUACGUUCCCGGGCCUUGUACACACCGCCCGUCACACCAUGAGAGUCUGUAACACCCAAAGCCGGUGGGAUAACCUUUAUAGGAGUCAGCCGUCUAAGGUAGGACAGAUGAUUAGGGUGAAGUCGUAACAAGGUAGCCGUA
This 1505-nucleotide ribosomal RNA is filed under the name uncultured bacterium. RNAcentral's name for it is "16S ribosomal RNA". It matches the Rfam family "Bacterial small subunit ribosomal RNA". The record is from RNAcentral.